GAUUCAGCGGCGGACGGGUGAGUAAUGCCUAGGAAUCUGCCUAGUAGUGGGGGACAACGUUUCGAAAGGAACGCUAAUACCGCAUACGUCCUACGGGAGAAAGUGGGGGAUCUUCGGACCUCACGCUAUUAGAUGAGCCUAGGUCGGAUUAGCUAGUUGGUAGGGUAAAGGCCUACCAAGGCGACGAUCCGUAACUGGUCUGAGAGGAUGAUCAGUCACACUGGAACUGAGACACGGUCCAGACUCCUACGGGAGGCAGCAGUGGGGAAUAUUGGACAAUGGGCGAAAGCCUGAUCCAGCCAUGCCGCGUGUGUGAAGAAGGCCUUCGGGUCGUAAAGCACUUUAAGUUGGGAGGAAGGGCUCAUAGCGAAUACCUGUGAGUUUUGACGUUACCAACAGAAUAAGCACCGGCUAACUUCGUGCCAGCAGCCGCGGUAAUACGAAGGGUGCAAGCGUUAAUCGGAAUUACUGGGCGUAAAGCGCGCGUAGGUGGCUUGAUAAGUUGGAUGUGAAAUCCCCGGGCUCAACCUGGGAACUGCAUCCAAAACUGUCUGGCUAGAGUGCGGUAGAGGGUAGUGGAAUUUCCAGUGUAGCGGUGAAAUGCGUAGAUAUUGGAAGGAACACCAGUGGCGAAGGCGACUACCUGGACUGACACUGACACUGAGGUGCGAAAGCGUGGGGAGCAAACAGGAUUAGAUACCCUUGGUAGUCCACGCCGUAACGAUUGUCAACUAGCCGUUGGGAUCCUUGAGA
RNAcentral lists this ribosomal RNA (753 nucleotides) under Pseudomonas sp. ISW_18. RNAcentral's name for it is "bacterial SSU rRNA". It matches the Rfam family "Bacterial small subunit ribosomal RNA", at positions 89 to 837 of the family's 1533-position model. The record is from RNAcentral. Lineage: Bacteria; Pseudomonadati; Pseudomonadota; Gammaproteobacteria; Pseudomonadales; Pseudomonadaceae.